CUAGCAGGAUUUUUACAAGCUUGAAAUAAACCCCAACGCAAGUGAAGUUCUCUUUGGUGCCUCCUACCAAACUGCUCGUACCUGCUCCCUAAGCGCCCGAACAGCUAUUUUCCCUGCAAGCCCCUUUGCGGGAGCAAAUGCCACACCAAGAUCCAAACUGGAGCGGAGCAUCGCAUCCCUGCAAACCAUGGCGGGGGGCGGGUUGGAACAUAAAAUAAAACCAGCUGGCUGCUCCUAUCCACCUCCCCCAAAAUCCCGCACCACCCUAAUGGUCGGAUAGAAGCCCAAAUUUCAUCCCAGUGCAUUUCCCCGGCUGCUUUCAGUGGGCUUCACAUGAUGAAACCAAUGCCAUGGGGAAUGCAUCUCCCACUGCCACCGUGGGCACACGCUUCCAACAUACCAGAGCUUUGCUCCUGAAGCAACGCCGGGCGACUUCUGGAAGAGCAAGUAUUUAUUUUAUAGAAGAUAAUUAAUUUUUGUAGAAGACGCUGUGCUUGUGAGAGGCAUGGAAGGCUACCAAAUAAGUUCUGCACAUGGAAGACCUGGAGAAGCAGCUUCAAAGCCAGAAGAAAUGUUUCAGAAAUGGUUGGGUUUUGUGCACAGGACUGAGAAGCAUCCUGCAGGAAGGUUGCCUCGAAAUGCCUGAGGUUGCACCUGGGCAUCAUGCACAUAUCCUUGGUCAUGGUGACUUCUGGAUCAUAUGUUUUCUGGAUCGAAUGAUGAUUCACAAGCAUUAAGAGGCUUCAUCUGGACACAGUUGUACAUAUCACA
Cuculus canorus (common cuckoo) is the source of this 771-nucleotide long non-coding RNA. RefSeq lists it as uncharacterized. The record is from RefSeq and is a predicted model, not a curated record. Lineage: Eukaryota; Metazoa; Chordata; Aves; Cuculiformes; Cuculidae. The transcript is spliced from 4 exons.